Molecule: non-coding RNA, 149 nt
Organism: Caenorhabditis elegans
Lineage: Eukaryota; Metazoa; Nematoda; Chromadorea; Rhabditida; Rhabditidae
Source: Ensembl
GCAGAAAUAUGUCCACUGACCGACAAACGUGUCACUCUCUUUAGACCGUCUAAUUUCGAUGCGACGGAUGAGAAGGAGACGUCGCUACAUUCGCCCGAGCCUGCAAGAAAUUUGUAAUAUUUUCUUUUGAUCUUUUUUGGGUGGUGUCC